Molecule: long non-coding RNA, 989 nt
Organism: Bombyx mori (domestic silkworm)
Lineage: Eukaryota; Metazoa; Arthropoda; Insecta; Lepidoptera; Bombycidae
Exons: 2
Source: RefSeq, a predicted model, not a curated record
CAAAGAGUAACGUACGCCACAUCAACCCCUAUGGUAAUAGUAACAAUUAUACCUGCUACAAUAAACAUGCAAAUUCGAUGCAUUUAAUGCAUAAGAGAAGCAGUGAAUUGGUUAUCACAAAGGACAUGAUAAAGCAGCGCAAAUGGCUUGCUUUGCAUAUUUAGUAGCAGAGGUGAGCAGGAAGCCAGUUACCCAGGAAUGAACGAAUAUCAUCAACGGUCCACAGGUCGGCCUAAUUAUUGGCGAGCUGCCUGGAUGCCUAGGGAGCCAGAACCAGAACAGAACCCUUUCGUCAUGGCGCAUUUCGAUCGAUACCUACAGCAGCUUUACCGCGCCCAUGUUCAAGGCAUGGCCCCAUACAGGCCCAUCGAAAAUACCAUCGGUGUUGACUGAUUUACAGCACUGGUCGCCAGGUUGGCAAGACCAAAGUGCGCACGAUAAGUCGAGUUUGCCUAUAAUAUGGCCCAACUACUCCAACUGUACUAUGACUUCAAUGCGGAUCUCUCCAACCACGAUGUGGACAUCAACUAGUGGCGCCUUCAGAGACCGUAAACCCACAGGACCUGGGAUAUGUACUCAGAAAAGAAUCAUAACCGAUUUUCCACUGAAGACACAAAACCAACCCCCGUGGAACACCGCGUAUGAUCUUUGUGAAUCAGUUGCAUACCGAUCUGGCCUCCAAAUAGGAGCUCAUCAGUCGGCAGAGUUUUUAGAAUGGUCGUUGGUGGUGGCAAGAGUGUCGGCGAUUCGGCGGUGUCAGCGUAUGAAGCAAGUGAGACAGAGUUCGGCUGAACCAAUGCAGUCGUCGUGGCAAAACGCACCGCACUUUUUACAUAAGAUCAUCGCACGGAGGUUACACACACACGAGUCCUCGGCACCGACGCUUCGACAUCGUGCUAUGCUCUGAAACAGAAACAUAAUAUAGUAGUAAUGAAAUUAUGUAAUAAUUUUAUUAUUAAUGUAGUGAAAAAAUAAAAAUUCACUUACAA